UUGAACGCUGGCGGCAGGCCUAACCCAUGCAAGUCGAGCGGAUGAAGGGAGCUUGCUCCUGGAUUCAGCGGCGGACGGGUGAGUAAUGCCUAGGAAUCUGCCUGGUAGUGGGGGAUAACGUCCGGAAACGGGCGCUAAUACCGCAUACGUCCUGAGGGAGAAAGUGGGGGAUCUUCGGACCUCACGCUAUCAGAUGAGCCUAGGUCGGAUUAGCUAGUUGGUGGGGUAAAGGCCUACCAAGGCGACGAUCCGUAACUGGUCUGAGAGGAUGAUCAGUCACACUGGAACUGAGACACGGUCCAGACUCCUACGGGAGGCAGCAGUGGGGAAUAUUGGACAAUGGGCGAAAGCCUGAUCCAGCCAUGCCGCGUGUGUGAAGUAGGUCUUCGGAUUGUAAAGCACUUUAAGUUGGGAGGAAGGGCAGUAAGUUAAUACCUUGCUGUUUUGACGUUACCAACAGAAUAAGCACCGGCUAACUUCGUG
This 483-nucleotide ribosomal RNA is filed under the name uncultured bacterium. Its description in RNAcentral is "partial 16S ribosomal RNA". It matches the Rfam family "Bacterial small subunit ribosomal RNA", at positions 30 to 507 of the family's 1533-position model. The record is from RNAcentral.